This 253-nucleotide ribosomal RNA is filed under the name uncultured bacterium. RNAcentral's name for it is "partial 16S ribosomal RNA". It matches the Rfam family "Bacterial small subunit ribosomal RNA", at positions 524 to 776 of the family's 1533-position model. The record is from RNAcentral.
UACGUAGGGUGCGAGCGUUAUCCGGAAUUACUGGGUUUAAAGGGUGCGUAGGCGGCUAUGUAAGUCAGGAGUGAAAGUUUGCGGCUCAACCGUAAAAUUGCUUUUGAUACUGCAUGGCUGGAAUUAGGAUGAGGUCAGCGGAAUGUGGCAUGUAGCGGUGAAAUGCAUAGAUAUGCCAUAGAACACCAAUUGCGAAGGCAGCUGGCUAGACCUGGAUUGACGCUGAGGCACGAAAGCGUGGGGAGCGAACAGG